UGGGGAAUAUUGCACAAUGGGCGAAAGCCUGAUGCAGCAACGCCGCGUGAGUGAUGAAGGUCUUCGGAUUGUAAAGCUCUGUCUUUUGGGACGAUAAUGACGGUACCAAAGGAGGAAGCCACGGCUAACUACGUGCCAGCAGCCGCGGUAAUACGUAGGUGGCGAGCGUUGUCCGGAUUUACUGGGCGUAAAGGGUGCGUAGGCGGAUGUUUAAGUGAGAUGUGAAAUACCCGGGCUUAACUUGGGUGCUGCAUUUCAAACUGGAUAUCUAGAGUGCAGGAGAGGAGAAUGGAAUUCCUAGUGUAGCGGUGAAAUGCGUAGAGAUUAGGAAGAACACCAGUGGCGAAGGCGAUUCUCUGGACUGUAACUGACGCUGAGGCACGAAAGCGUGGGUAGCAAACAGGAUUAGAUACCCU
This 416-nucleotide ribosomal RNA is filed under the name uncultured bacterium. RNAcentral describes it as "partial 16S ribosomal RNA". It matches the Rfam family "Bacterial small subunit ribosomal RNA", at positions 355 to 788 of the family's 1533-position model. The record is from RNAcentral.